UUCACAGUUCUGGAGACUGAAUCCUCUUUCUUUGCCCAGAAAACCAAUACAGCACAAAGCAGAGGGAGUGUGAGCUUCCCCACUCCACCCCAUCAUUGUGUCUCAUCUAUGACCUAGAAGGGCAACCUCUAGGCAUGAGCAGCCAGUUCAGUUUCUGUACUUAUUUAAUCCUUGGCCAAC
This 180-nucleotide small RNA is filed under the name Sphenodon punctatus (tuatara). Its description in RNAcentral is "TUC338 (ENSSPUG00000018080.1)". The record is from RNAcentral. Lineage: Eukaryota; Metazoa; Chordata; Lepidosauria; Sphenodontia; Sphenodontidae.